UACGAAGGGAGCUAGCGUUGUUCGGAAUCACUGGGCGUAAAGCGCACGUAGGCGGAUGUGUCAGUCAGGGGUGAAAUCCCGGAGCUCAACUUCGGAACUGCCUUUGAUACAGCACGUCUUGAGUCCGAUAGAGGUGGGUGGAAUUCCUAGUGUAGAGGUGAAAUUCGUAGAUAUUGGGAAGAACACCAGUGGCGAAGGCGGCUCACUGGCACGUAACUGACGCUGAGGUGCGAAAGCGUGGGGAGCAAACAGG
RNAcentral lists this ribosomal RNA (253 nucleotides) under uncultured bacterium. RNAcentral describes it as "partial 16S ribosomal RNA". It matches the Rfam family "Bacterial small subunit ribosomal RNA", at positions 524 to 776 of the family's 1533-position model. The record is from RNAcentral.